RNAcentral lists this long non-coding RNA (1227 nucleotides) under Gallus gallus (chicken). Lineage: Eukaryota; Metazoa; Chordata; Aves; Galliformes; Phasianidae. The record is from RNAcentral.
AAAAGAGUGAAGUGGAAAUUCUUGAUUUACAGCUCUGAUGCUGCUCUACAAUCUGAUUUGUCCCAAGAUUUCAAAACUAGAAUCUGUAUAAUGCACCCUUCACUGAUAAACAUUUCUAAGUACUUUUAAGACAAACCAUAAUGAAUCCACUGGUGUUCACUACUUGCACAAAAGACACAGCACAAUAUUGGUUGAAACUGUUUAUUUUACAUCCAAUGUAUCCAUACCAGUUUCAGUUGUUAGAAGUUCUUGGAAACAAUUCCAUCAUUUUUUGCCAGACGCAGAAUGGAGUCAUCUGAUUCCCCCAUCCUACGAAUUGCUCCACAGAUGGCAUAUGUUUUGAACUGGCCAUUGACUCUGCCUGUUACCUUGUCGACCUCAGAAAUAUUUAUCUGAAUGGAAGCAUGGUCCUUAGCACCAAUUAUUCGGUUGCUGGCAGAGCAUUUCCGAGGCACGUAGAGAUCCACGAACUCGCCGGCGUCGUUCUGCAUCGUGUGCGGGUUGGGCCGGGCACGGAGUGCUAAGACCUCACACACGCACCACGGCGGAAAGGAAGGGCUGCCCGCCGGAAGCGGAAAUGAGCGCGCGGGAGGAGGAAGUACUUCCGGUGUGGCGUCAUGACGUCAGAGGCGAUGUUAGGCUCUCUCAGAGGAGGCCGGGGCUGGGCUGUGAUCUCUGCCCAGCCCCGUCCGCCGGUCCCCGGGAGCGCAAGCACCAUUCCGAAACGCGACGUUUGGUUACAAAACACGUAUCAAAACCGUUUUUAUUUCACAGCAUCUUAAACGCACAAAUUCACGGGGGGAAAAAACUAAAAGUACAUGGAACGGUCUAACCCAGAUUCUUAAAUAACACAGUAAGCCAAAAACCGUGACAGUGUAUAUGUAUACAUAUAUAUAUAUUUUACACAAGAACGUAUAGCCUCUUGUCGAGAAUCGCCUGUGCUGAGCCAGAGCAGCACCGCACUCACAGGUGCACAGCAUUCAGCCACAGCUGCCCCAGGAGGAGUGCUCUGCAGCCCGAUGAAGCUGAUUAGGGUUUGGGUCCCGCUUUAUUAAUAGGUAAUGCAGUAAUAGUCCUUUGCCACACGGUGGCAGCUUUUAGGUGAAGUGAUAAAUAUUGCCACAUAGGAAGAACUGAACGGGGCUGGAAGCCACACACUGGCAACAGAGUAAUAAACACAUAUACACGGCUACUGUAUUGCUCCAGGACUGAUCCUGCAGAGACAAC